CCCUUCUCCCCCAAUCUGCCUUGACUGUGCCCAUCGCCUGGUGCCGUCUUCUGUCUCGGGACCCUGGCUUGAGCCGUCCCCUUUGCCUGGAACGCCUUUCCUGCCUUGUCUGCCUAGACCGUGGCCCUCGAGGACAGGGAACGUGCCAUUCCUGGGCAUCCUCUCAACCCUGUGUGGUGUGGAUGAAUGGGUGCUGCCACGCCCUGGGGAGCUACACCUGGUUAUUAAGCACCUGUCACGCGCUGGGCCCGUCACAGUGCGGUGCUGGGGACCUGCGUGGGCCACAAUCAGCUCAGGGUCCAGGACUUGACAACAGGGCCCACGUUCCUGCAUCGCCAGUCUUUUCCCUGCACAGGUAGUGAAAUUUUAAACAGGCACAUUCCUGCUGCCCAAUUUUCAUUAAUUGGAUCUAAAAGGGUUUCUAUGUUCUCCCCAGACGUUGAUUGAUCCAGCCGAGGUAAACAGCUCCACCAAAACUGAGCAGGGAGUGAGGCUGCUGAAGGAGAUGGGAUAACUGAUGUUACUUGACAUUUACUCAGAGAGAGGAAG
Molecule: long non-coding RNA, 549 nt
Organism: Bos taurus (domestic cattle)
Lineage: Eukaryota; Metazoa; Chordata; Mammalia; Artiodactyla; Bovidae
Source: Ensembl